RNAcentral lists this long non-coding RNA (1143 nucleotides) under Canis lupus dingo (dingo). RNAcentral's name for it is "lncRNA (ENSCAFG00020008764.1)". Lineage: Eukaryota; Metazoa; Chordata; Mammalia; Carnivora; Canidae. The record is from RNAcentral.
GAGACACACAGAGAGAGGCAGAGACAUAGGCAGAGGGUGGAGCAGGCUCCCACCAGGGAGCCGGACAAGGGACUCCAUCCUGGAUCCCAGGAUCACACCCUGAGCCCUGAGCUGAAGGCAAAUGCUCAACCUCUGAGCCACCCAAGCGUCCCCACACCUUUUUUUUUUUUUUUAAGCUUCCUCUCAUUUGUUUGUUUCUUUUCUUGGGUGGAGAAAGAAGGAAAUUCCAUGAUUUGCAAGUCUGCCAGAGCCAGAGUGUGUGUGUAGGGCCAGGUUGCUGUCAGGCACAAAGGCAGGGAGAUGGCCUGUGUCCAAAUGAAGAUCCACUGGGGCAAGAAGAAAGCCAGGCUGGAAGGAAGAGAAGCAGGCUUCGAGCUCCAACAAUUCCUGCCCAGUGAGGCUCAGGGGCACCAGAGACAAGAGCCCAAAGGCCAUUCUUCGAAGCUGAGCAAGAUUGCAGGGUUUCUGAGAGUACUGCGCAGAAAUAAAGGAGACAAAAAUGUCACUGAUCCACCAGAAACUUCCAAAGGUUUCUCCGAGUUGGUCCAGGAUGGGCAGUUCCUGGAGGCCUACCUGAGCAUCCCGACAUUGGUAAAGCAAGGGCAAGACUGCAAAUCCCUGUACCAGGUUGUGGCCCAGAGCAUGUGGCAGGUGCUCCAGCAGGCUCUGGAGGGCACUGAGUACUGCCCGGAGCUGGAGCUAAAGAUCCAGGCUGUGCUGGGCACCAUAGAGUGGACACAGGAGAAGCACCAGAGCUGGGAGGAUGGUGACCUCCAGGAUGGUGACCUCCAGGAUGGUGACCUCCAGGAUGGCGGAGUUGCCGCCUGGGGCAAUCAGCUGGAGAAGCUGCUGAGAAGUGAUGUGGAGGCCAGAGUGCCUGCCCUGGGCCCUGGCGACCAGGUGGACCUGUACCUGGAGAAGCUAGAAGAGGCUGUGACACAGGGCCUGAGGUCCCCGCGGGCCAGCCUGUUGGGGCCCCAGCUCUGGAAGGUCUACAGGACACACUUCCAGGAGGUCCUCCUCAACCGCCUCUGGGAGCUCAUGCACUCCUUUGGCACCAACAGGGAAAGCUGUCACAUGCUGUACUCCUGGGCCAAGAUAACGUUGUUUGGGGAGCCAGGGAAAGCUUGGAGGAACAACUAG